GGCAGCUACUGGCCUUGAGAGAAGGAACAUCUAUUCUGAAAUUAUAGCUCAGAGAGAGAAGAAAAUUGGUUCAGGUAUGUAUGGGCUUGUAGAUUCGGCAGUGGAAAGAUAAAGAUGAUUUCAUCUGAUGCCUUCAGAUUUCUGUGAAUUUGGCAAGAUCAUCCACUAUGAGUGAAGAAAGAGGAGACUAAAGAAGAUUUCAGACUUAUUGCAAAGAAUGGAAGAUCAACUCGACCAAACAAACGUAGUACGAUUACCAGACACUGGUAAAGUCCCAUUUGAGGGACAUGAUCACGGCAUUAGUUGUUGGAGUUGUGAGACUUACUGAAGCUUUAUCAGGAUUCCAGUUGUCUAAUGGAGUAGGCCUUUGCCAAGACAGUAACAACACUCAGGAUUUCUGGUGCCACCUUCGUCAUUAAGAGUUGCUGAUUUAGAGGUCAACACCAGCAAUGAGACAAACUGCAAUCAUGUGCUUGCUGAUGCUGAGGAAGACACAACAUCACUCUUGUGAAAUUCUAACUGAAAAUAUGUAGUCUGGAUCUAAUCACGAGGAAAAGUCAGACAAAAACUUGAGAGACAGUCUAUGAAGUAAUCAGCUUGGCAUGAAAAUGUUGUAAAAGACAAAGAAUAAGGAACUGUUUCAUAUUUUAAAAGAUUAAAAAAAAUACAGCUAAAUUCAAUAUUGAUCCUGGAUUACAAUACUUCUUUUUUCUGUUCUUGGACAUUAUUGAAAUAAUUGGUGAAGCCUGAAUAAGGUCUAUCGAUUUGAUAAUAAUAUUCUAUCAGUAUCAGUUCUCUGAUUUUUGACAGCUAUUCUGAUGCUGAUUAGGGGAAGAAAUGUGUGUAGAAAUGCAUACUCUUGUGUUUUUUUUUACUUUUAAGAUUUCAAAUCAUCUUAAACACACCUAAAAGUUACCAGAAGUAGCACAAGGAUCUCCAGUGUAUUCAUCUCCCAUAUUCUCCAGUUAACAUUUGAUCAUAUUUGUUUAAUUAUUCUCUUUUGUCCUAUUCUUGUAACUCCUAGGUAUACUUGAACUUAUUUCAAAAUAAAAAGCCACAAAAAAUUAGAAUAAUUAAUACUUUCUACUUCUUUUUGCUUGUUAAGUGAGUAGC
Long non-coding RNA from Phacochoerus africanus (Common warthog), 1113 nucleotides. RefSeq lists it as uncharacterized. The record is from RefSeq and is a predicted model, not a curated record. Lineage: Eukaryota; Metazoa; Chordata; Mammalia; Artiodactyla; Suidae. The transcript is spliced from 4 exons.